RNAcentral lists this ribosomal RNA (468 nucleotides) under uncultured bacterium. RNAcentral's name for it is "partial 16S ribosomal RNA". It matches the Rfam family "Bacterial small subunit ribosomal RNA", at positions 28 to 507 of the family's 1533-position model. The record is from RNAcentral.
GACGAACGCUGGCGGCGUGCUUAACACAUGCAAGUCGAACGGAAAGGCCCUGCUUUUGUGGGGUGCUCGAGUGGCGAACGGGUGAGUAACACGUGAGUAACCUGCCCUUGACUUUGGGAUAACUUCAGGAAACUGGGGCUAAUACCGGAUAGGAGCUCCUGCUGCAUGGGGUGGGUUGGAAAGUUUCGGCGGUUGGGGAUGGACUAGCGGCUUAUCAGCUUGUUGGUGGGGUAGUGGCUUACCAAGGCUUUGACGGGUAGCCGGCCUGAGAGGGUGACCGGCCACAUUGGGACUGAGAUACGGCCCAGACUCCUACGGGAGGCAGCAGUGGGGAAUAUUGCACAAUGGGCGGAAGCCUGAUGCAGCAACGCCGCGUGCGGGAUGACGGCCUUCGGGUUGUAAACCGCUUUCGCCUGUGACGAAGCGUGAGUGACGGUAAUGGGUAAAGAAGCACCGGCUAACUACGUG